Terrapene triunguis (Three-toed box turtle) is the source of this 399-nucleotide non-coding RNA. The record is from the annotation of a RefSeq genome assembly. Lineage: Eukaryota; Metazoa; Chordata; Testudines; Emydidae.
AUGGAGUCACUAUGGGUUUUCAGUUUGCUGUUAUCUAGCCUGACUUGUGUCCGCUCACAGAUCCAGCUGGUCCCGUCCGCCCCGGGAGUGGUGACGCCCGGAGAGUCCCUCACAGUGACUUGUACCGUGUCGGGGGACUCCAUCGCUACCCGCGCCUGGUGGAACUGGGUGCGCGAACUCCCCGGCCGAGGGCUGCAAUGGGUCGGGCGCAUCCAUUUCUCCGGGAGCACGAACUACGCCCCCGACCUGCAAACCCGAGCGAACAUCGCCAAAGAUGACGCCAAGAACGAGUAUUACCUGCAGCUCCGCUCCCUGACCGCUGCGGACACCGCCACCUAUUACUGCACCAGGUUACACUUCGGGGGGGUGGGUGCACUUGAAUGCUGGGCAAUUCCCUAG